GUAGUCUCGCACAGAUGCAUAUCAAUAAGCGGAGGAAAAGAAACUAACAAGGAUUCCCUUAGUAACGGCGAGUGAAGCGGGAAGAGCUCAAAUUUGAAAUCUUCAAGGCUUUACCUUGGCGAAUUGUAGUUUAAAGAAGUGUUUUCUGUUGAAGUUUUGGUAAAAGUUCUUUGGAAUAGGACAUCAUAGAGGGUGAGAAUCCCGUAUUUGACCAUUAUUUUCAGCUGUGUGAUACACUUUCAAAGAGUCGGAUUGUUUGGGAAUGCAGUCCAAAAUGGGUGGUAAAUUUCAUCUAAAGCUAAAUAUUGGCGAGAGACCGAUAGCGAACAAGUACCGUGAGGGAAAGAUGAAAAGAACUUUGAAAAGAGAGUUAAACAGUACGUGAAAUUGUCAAAAGGGAAGCGUUUGACACCAGUGUUGUUUUCUCGAAAAUCAAUUAAAAAGAGUUAGAUUUUGUUGUGUAUUGACCUUAACAGCUUGCAUUUCAAUUUUCUUGCCUUUUUUAAUGCACUUUUCGUUUAACAAGUCAACAUCAGUUUCUUUUGUUGUAAAAAGGUCAUUGGAAGGUGGCUUUCCUUUCGGAGAAAGUGUUUAUAGCCUUUGACUCCUGCAAUCGGAGAGACUGAGGUCUGCAGCGUAGAUCCUUCGGGGUUAGAUACAUUUGUGCUAAGUUAUAGCUUUUUAUAGACAACUUGUUGACUAUGAUUAGUCUUGUAGCUUACUCGCUUAUGCUAUUUUACCUACGCUUAGGAUGUUGAAGAUGUAGCACAUCAU
This 774-nucleotide ribosomal RNA is filed under the name uncultured Neocallimastigales. RNAcentral describes it as "partial large subunit ribosomal RNA". It matches the Rfam family "Eukaryotic large subunit ribosomal RNA", at positions 24 to 634 of the family's 3401-position model. The record is from RNAcentral. Lineage: Eukaryota; Fungi; Neocallimastigomycota; Neocallimastigomycetes; Neocallimastigales.